Molecule: transfer RNA, 75 nt
Filed under: Microcoleus vaginatus PCC 9802
Lineage: Bacteria; Bacillati; Cyanobacteriota; Cyanophyceae; Oscillatoriales; Microcoleaceae
Also listed under: 3 other names
Description: tRNA-Met
Rfam family: tRNA
About the family: Transfer RNA (tRNA) molecules are approximately 80 nucleotides in length.
Source: RNAcentral
UGCAGCGUAGCUUAAUGGUAAAGCGCCAAGUUCAUACCUUGGUCAAUGCGGGUUCAAUUCCGGCCGCUGCGACCA